RNAcentral lists this ribosomal RNA (175 nucleotides) under uncultured bacterium. RNAcentral's name for it is "partial 16S ribosomal RNA". It matches the Rfam family "Bacterial small subunit ribosomal RNA", at positions 335 to 498 of the family's 1533-position model. The record is from RNAcentral.
ACUCNUACGGGAGGCAGCAGUGGGGAAUAUUGGACAAUGGGCGCAAGCCUGAUCCAGCCAUGCCGCGUGUGUGAAGAAGGCCUUCGGGUUGUAAAGCACUUUCAGCGAGGAGGAAGGGUGGUGUGUUAAUAGCCAGCAUGCAUUUUGACCGUAACNCGCAGAAGAAGCUCCGUAU